AGCUUUGCGCAGUGGCAGUAUCGUAGCCAAUGAGGUUUAUCCGAGGCGCGAUUAUUGCUAAUUGAAAGCAGCAUGCUAGUUUUUGAACAACGAUAAUCAGAUUACAUAAAACCACCUCUCCAAACAGAACAAUCUG
Molecule: small nuclear RNA, 136 nt
Organism: Rattus rattus (black rat)
Lineage: Eukaryota; Metazoa; Chordata; Mammalia; Rodentia; Muridae
Product: U4 spliceosomal RNA
Exons: 1
Source: RefSeq, a predicted model, not a curated record